Molecule: unclassified non-coding RNA, 6913 nt
Filed under: Leishmania donovani
Lineage: Eukaryota; Euglenozoa; Kinetoplastea; Trypanosomatida; Trypanosomatidae
Description: gene:LdHU3.34.2140(CDS-product:Protein_of_unknown _function_(DUF3595)_putative)
Source: RNAcentral
CAAACCCCCACCGUUAAGCUGCACUCUCCCGGCAUCCCACUACCUAUACAUCCUUCACUAUCCGCCUCGGCGCGUUGGCUUCCUCGCGGUCACGAUGUCUGAGCUGCUGUAUGCCGUGGUUAACGGCGCGUACCUCUUCCUUGUGCUGCAACUUCUUUUUCUGCUGGUAGUCGUGUGGCAGAACGUUGUUGCAGCGAGUCUUCUGUUUUUAUUCGUGUCCCUCUCCUGUCUGGAGGCAGUGCGCUGGGGCGCGCUGGAGUCGGGGAAGCAGCAAAACCAGUCUCUGAAUGCUGAGGUCGUGGUCGUUAGUCCCUCAACCGCAGAGUUAAGCCGAAGAGAGAACGACGGCGGUACAGAGGUGUUUGUGUCAGCGCUGUACGCCACACACGAGCCGCCUGCGCUCGACGGCUGUCGUGCAUCUUGUUACCGCUGCACACCACCGCCGCCACGCGAAGAGCGCAGUUCUGUCGCGAUCGCGAGCUGGAUGGGGUGCGACGGUGACCUUGCGUCGCCUGGCAUGGGCCCUCCGAGUACGAGUCGUGAACGCGAGCCCUGCAGAGAUGCGGGCAACGUCUCUUCGGGUCCGUACUCUCCCAUUCAAAACGGCGCCGACGACACACUCAUCUACUUCCCCACCGCAUCGGACGGGCCGAACACGGAGAGGCUAAUCGCAGAGAACGUGCGCACUCAAGGUGAUCAAGACGACGCACAAGCGGAGAUGCAGCACGGGCAACGUGGCGCACCGGUGUCCCAGUCUCAGAUGCGCGUGCAGUCCUUCUACCCAGCACCGCGCAGCGGGUGGGUGUUUGCAACAGCAAUCAUCAGCCUCGCCACUGUGUGCACGUCGGUCGUCCUUUUCGGGCUUCUCUACUCGUCCGUGCAAGUCGAUUCGUCCCUCGCUGGCGCUGUCCUGCCUGGAUGGGCCACCACACCAGCGGCCAAGUUGCUCCUUACCGUUUGUGUGGGCAUCCAAGUGGACAGCUCAAAUCCAAAGCUGCGUUUUUGUGGGGCGACUGCUUGCCUCUCCGUCGUGAGCUUGACGAGCUGGUGCUUGCUUCUCUGCCGAGCUCUGGGUCGGUGCGUGCAAGGGGCUCCCAAAGCGGCGUCUUCGGUCGUGGCUGGUGCGCGUGUGACGGCCACCUCCAGGUGGUCACGCGUGCGAGUCGGGUGGAACACGGCACUGCGACUCUUCGCUGGCGUUGUCACGUCUGCGCCCUACUCCUUGGGGUGGGUGGGUGCAGCGGGUGUCGGACAAGGGACCGCGUUGGGGCUGCUUUCUCUGGCUGUGGUGAUGAUGGUGCUGCUUCUCUCCUCGAGCGUUGGGCAGUUGCAAAGACAGCGCGUGGGCCACCCCCGUCAACGGUUGUGGGUCCCCUACACCUGCAUGCUGCUGUGUCUUUGGGAAGUGCAGAUGAUCGUUCUGCUGCCACCAGUGCAAAACUCACUCAAAGCCACAAGUGUGUGGGCCAGGCACGGCCGCUGGCUCGCUGCUGUCGGCGCAGUGCCAGCAGCGUCCCAGAGCUCGAUGCUCCGCUGGCGUAUCGUUCAGGCCAUUGGACUGUGGUGGGCCGGGACAGAGUUUGUCUGCUACCGCACCGCCGCCCCCGCGACUUCUCAGGUGACGUCCUUCAAAGGCGGGCAGAAGCUGCGAGCGCUUCUUUUGCGAGGACUUGCGCAGAGGGAUGAAAAUCAGUGGUCACGCGCCGUCAACCAGCAGCGCGCGGCGCACUGCAAGCUGCAGCAGCUUCGCCUUGAGCGAGACGCCUAUCUUCAUAGACCUUCUCGAGCAGGUAGCAACCAUUGGUGGCGACACGCCCAACGCGACGGGUCGCACAGAAGCGUGCAUGCGCCGUUUGGCAGCAACGUCAGCCACUGUUGCUGGCUGUGCAGAGAUGGCCCACAGCACCUACCGACCUCCGUCGGUGGCGGCCGCCGCGACGGGCACGAGUGCAACCCGACCCUCUUCCACAAUGGGCCUGCCCCUUCCAGCGCUGCAGGGGUGCACGUGCACGACACUCGUUGGACCGCUGCUGCAGUGGGAAGCAGUUCGCUCUACUCGAACACCUCCGUGUACGACUGCCUCGCGGGGAUGCGUGCGUCGUGGCAGUACUCCGAGAACGCCUCAGCGCAGCCGAGCCCGGCGAGCGCGGAAAGCGACUCCGCAGCGGUUCUGAUCACCACGACCACAGCCGUGGUGCUGAGCGAAAGCGCGGCCGAACCGCUGAAACGCCACGAUCCCGAGGUGGAGCCUUCGCUGUACAUGUGGCAGGGGUGGGCCCGGGCGCCAACACGAAGUCCGUGUAGAGACGAAGGGGACGGAGACGAGGAUGACAAUGACGUCCGCCAUAGCAGCUGUGGGGCAUGCAGCAAUGGAGAGCACCGCGCGUAUUGGUGGGGCCCGCCUCCGUCACACUCGAGUGCGCACUCCCCUUGCACCUUUUCUGUUACCACGUCGGGCCCCCGCACGGGUCACUCGCGGUUGCACGGGGCCGCUUACGCGAAUGCCACGCCGCGUCAGGACGAAAGUGGCGGCGGUUGCUCCAGCGCACGGUGGCCAUCGAUGAUCCAUGGCACAUCAGUCGACAUAUCUGCGGUCGACCAUGCAUCGUCAUUCGCGGAAGAAGCUGCGCAUCAUCGUCCAUCCGUGUGGCCGGAAGAUUCGGCACGUCCGGAGGAGGUGCGAGCUGAGCACGCUCCGGUGUCGCUGUCGAUGGUUGGCGCUGAGGAAACGCCAAGGGCCGCCGACGUCCGACCCCCUGCGUCGUCCCUGCUGGCGCGUCUACGCGGCAGAGCCCGAUGGGUUGCACACAAAGUGGUAGAGCUGCUCCGUGACUACCUGCGGCGCCAUACAGUCCCCCUUCCAGCAGAAGUGGAGAAUUCGGCAACCGAGUGCCCAGCCGGUCCACGAACCGACGCAGCGCAUCCUCAGCGGCAACGACGCCGCCAGCCGAUGGAGAAAGCGGUCGAGUGCACGCAACCAGCCUUUGCAUCAGCAGCAUCACUCACGACUGCGGAAGGUAUCACGUCACCGCCGGGCAUCUGUUUGGGCGCACCUUCUUCCGCCGUUUCGCGCCGUGAGGUCGUGCACCUGCCCUCUCUAUGGAGGCUUCUGGAGCUAUACGCAGUGCAGUACUGGUCGUCUCUGUGCGCGCUGCUCAUGCUGAGCCAAUUCGCGGUGUGCGGCACUGUCGUCAAUCUUGCGCCGUCGUUUUCGAGCAUCGUGUACGCGCUGCUGCAGAGACCCUGGCCACCAUUAUGGUACUGGCGCUUGCAGAUGCUCUUCUCCGUCUUGGCCUUACUCGCUAAGGGCACUGCGCGUGUCUACCUCCUCGCCAUGGGGCCAUCUGUGAGCCUGGCCACCUGUCGUUGGCUUAGCGUGCUGCUUCUACGCGUCGACGUGGGCGCGCCAUCCGCUCUGGUGGCGUCACUGCCGUCACCGUCGCCCUCCGCCAUGUUCGGCAGCGAAUCUCACCGCGAUAUGUGGGUGGAUCUUGUGUUGAGUGGGUGCGUCGUGACGGCUGUUGCUAUCCAGUGGGCGGUCGUCUACCCGGACCACUGCGUAUUCGGGAAUUGCAAAGGCGAGCCUGACACAACGGCAAGCGUUUCGGCGGCCGCCUUCGCUUCAUUAGAGCCCACCGGGUCACCCACUCGCGAAGCGCGUCAGGACAAGCCGCACCGGGGCGUCGCGGAGCUGUGGGGAAGCUGCAAGCUUCAUCUGCACUGCUGGAGCGUGCACCGCUGCGGCGCUGGUGCCGAUUAUUACGCGGCGCAACUCUUCUUUGACGGCCUCUCGCUCGCGCUUUUUGGCUGGGCCUACUACGCCAUUGUGCCAGAGGACACCGCCACCUCUGAAGGCAACCUUCUCCACGCCGUUCAGCAGAACCACCUGCCAGGCAUCUUUGUGGCCACCGCGCUGGGGCUCGUCGUUGUCCUCUUCCUGGAGCGCAUCCUCUACGUGCUGCACGCCCUUUUCGCCAAGUACGUGCUGCACUUCUUCUUGGCGGCUGUCUACCACGUGCUCUAUGUGCUCUGGCGCACCGCGCAGGAAAGCAAGGGAGGCAGCGGUGCCACCGCCUCAGCCGCCACCACGGCAUCGGUAUCUCUGCUGCUCUCUGCGAAGCUCGCCUCUCUUUGGUGUGGAGCGCUGCAGCUGCGACACGGCUACGCACUGCAUCACCUGCAUGAUCCCUUCACGAUCAAGACGGACCUGCUUCAUUGGUUGGGCCACGUGUCGUUUCGCGCUGUGCCGUUCCUAAUGGAGCUGCGUGUAAUGCUGGACUGGUCGUUCAGUGCAACAACGUUGAAAGUGCAGCAUUGGAUGCUCCUAGAGGACAUCCACCACACGGUGUAUCGGCGCUACGUCGACAUGCACGACCUGUACCACACAAGUCGUUACCACGGGCGUCACUUUCCAUACCUGGUCCGCCUCUACCAAGGCGUUCUCGGAUUCACCGUCAUUCUGUUCGUGCUCUUCUUUCCUCUGUUUUGGUACUCGACGUUUAGCCCGCAAGUGCGCGCGAGCCACGUCACGGCCUGGGCGACAGAGGUGGCCCUCGCUAGGAUGUCUUCUUUGCCGCUGUUUAGCGCCGACGCCGCAGUACGUCCGUCCAGCUUUCACGCAGCAGCAACGCUUUCGUUGGGUGACGCCAGCGUGGGAGCCGCGGGCCUCUUGCGUUUUGCCGCCGUCACGGACACUUGGCAGACGGUGCAUGUCGCGUCGUGCAGCAUCCGGAUGUGGUCCUAUACACCAGCAGCUCUGCAGGAGCUUGUCGAUCUGCUUGGCAAACGAACUGAGGUGGUUACUCUUCUUGUGCGUCACCGCGUCACUCGCGACCGUGCGAGUGACGCCACAAUGACCACGGUUGGCCUCGAGGAGUCGUACGCGCUGCCGCCCACCUCGCAGGCUCUUCUCGCCGAGGCGCUCAAGGCGUGGCGCGCAAUGGAUGACGCUGGCUCAGCUGGCACGGCAGAAUACUCAGCAAGCGCGUGGGAUCCUGUUGUAGUCCCACUGCCGCUCCUGUACUCGCCGUAUGUGCUGAGUUAUGGAACGGGUGUCUCAUUCCUGUCAGGCGCAACCAUGCGAAGGGCGAACUGCUCAUUGACACUACACCGCAUGGGGCGAUACCGCGGGUUCAGCUGUGUAAAGUGUGCCGAGGGUGACCAAAGCAGCCCUGCAGCAUCCACCUUCGCCGCUGCUACGGCCGCCGAUCCCGCAGGCUCAUCGCAGAUCGCGUCAGGAGCGGAGAUUCACGAAAUGUCAACCCCGCUGACGUUUGUGGUUGCGUCCAACCACGUGGCGAUCGUGCAAAGCAGUUUCUCGCUGAUCCCCAACGUCGGCGUCAUCGCCCUCUACACGAGCUUUGUUUUGGUGAUGAGCAGCUACAUCCGCGGCUGUUUUGCCGGCGACGCGCACCGAGUCGUGCUCCUGCAGCUGGCCAAUCCCGAGCCAGUAACGGAGCUGCUGCGCUACCUGUACCUCGCCCGCUCCUCCGCCAACGACGGACAAGUAGGUGACUUGGCCCUGGAGCAGCUUCUCUUCGUGGAGCUUCUCGACCUUCUCCGCUCACCGGAGCGCUUACUGCGACUGGGUGGCCGUCGCGUCGACGACUACGCAUAUUCAACGUACCGACAAGCGCUCUACGACGCAACGAGGCGGCCGUUUGCGCCUCCGGAUGAGGGAAGGGGUUAAGUGGACACGUCUUGUAAAUGUGCCGCCCUCUUUCCUUUGUUUCUUGGUCGCGCCAUGGGCGGUGCUGCGCUGCGGCAUCCCAUUGUGGAACGGCGCAGCAUCCUUGGUCUCGCGCGCGCGUGCGGCGUGCUCGGGUGCCGCUCUUGAGCACGGAGUCUGCGUGCAUGGUUGCUUGUGGACCCUUUUCUCUGUGCAUGCGCGUGGUUUUGUUUUCACCACGUCGCUUACAGCACAUCAGCAACGCGAAUAUGACAAGACAGACACUAACACAGAUGCAUACAUGUAUAUGCGCAAGCACUGUGAAGGUCCUUGCGGAGAGGCCUCUGCAUCACUCUUGUCCGCGUUUCUAGUGUUCUUUCCGCGUGUACGCUUGCUCACAUGUGUUGCUGUGGAGUCUGUGUGUGUGUGUGUGUGUUACUGUUACCGCUGUCUCCCCCUCCCCCCCCCUCCUCUCCUUUCCUUCCCUCCCACCGUCUAUAUUCGCCUCGUUCCCUUUUCUUUUCGUUUUUGUUCGUUUCUUUCGUUGUUGUUCAAGCAUGUCUGUAUGAACUUGAUCGGCUCAUUGGCUUCCCUCUCUUCGACGUCUUCUAUCCUGUUCCCUCUCCCUCACUCUGUACCCGCCCACCCACCCAUCCCCCCCCCACUGCCACGCCGUUUGUACUCUCCUUCCUUUUACUUCGCUCUACCUGUACGCGGUUGGGUCCCCUUUUUUUUUUCAUAGCCUCCCCCCCCCCCUUCAUGCCACUGCUAUCUCCUUAUCCUUCUCUAACCUCCUCCUUUGUGCCUUGCUUGCACCCUAUGCCACACGCUCGCCAACACACACAUCUACACGCAUCGCUCGUGCGCGCAUGGGCCCGUGACGGAUCGCCCGCUGUGUUUCUUUCCACCGUACACGCAUCCUCGCUGCUCGCAUGCCAGACGCAUGCGUCGUUGUUCCCCUUCCAUCUUUUCUUGUGUGUGGGUGCGCAUGUGUAUUCUUUGCUUUCUCCAGCGCUUCCACUCUCUUGACUUGCUCUCUCUAUAUAUAUAGAUAUUGGUAUGGCACCAUUCUUCGACUUCACGUGUGGUGGUGGCGCUCACUACUUGAGCGAAGUGGGGCUCAUCUGCCUUUUUUCUCGCCCCUGUCGACCCCUUGACUGCGAUCAAGCAAACUCACGUACACAACCGCCUAUGGCGGACGUGACGCAAAACACCUUUGCUUUCAUAUGUGUGUGUGUGCUUUUC